ACUUCCAGGGUGAUAAUGGUGAUCAGAAGGAUGGCCAGGCUAAACCCAUAGCCGAUCUUCCAGGGGUUACCAGCGCCUCCAACUUUGAUUCCCAAGACAAUGUUGACUGCUGCAAAGAAGAGCACAAGCCUGCCUACCCAAUGGUGAUACCAGUUCCAGUAUUUCCGGUACUUCGAGUCUUUGUUGGGCCGGAAGCAGAUAUCACAUACCUGGAGGAUACCAAGCACAAGCACAAAUAUGCCAAGGCCUCUAUGUGCUGGAACAUCUGCUUGGAUCUUGCCGUAGAGUGAUACUCCAGCCACAACGCCGGCCAGACCGAGGAUGAAGCCGACGAACUGAAUGCCGCCAUGA
RNAcentral lists this ribosomal RNA (351 nucleotides) under Triticum aestivum (bread wheat). RNAcentral describes it as "partial small subunit ribosomal RNA". The record is from RNAcentral. Lineage: Eukaryota; Viridiplantae; Streptophyta; Magnoliopsida; Poales; Poaceae.